CCCGGGGCGGGUCCCGGCCGGGAGGGGCGCUCGGGGACCUCGCGGGAGGUCGCCCCCGGCCGCCGGGCCGCCGAGGCCUCUUUUAACCUUGGUCCCUCCCGCGCGCUCGCUCUUCCGCCCCGGCGCGCGACCCGGCUCAGUCCAGUUCAAGAUGCUGAUGAAGUUCAGGGCUGGUGCUUGAAAGACAAUUGGGGUGCUUGAAAGAAGCUUUUCAAGUAGAAAAAGUGUAUUUGAACAUGUAAUUGAUACAUAGAAGCUUUUGCUUUCCUUGUCCCUCUUGUGGUAG
This 286-nucleotide long non-coding RNA is filed under the name Canis lupus dingo (dingo). RNAcentral describes it as "lncRNA (ENSCAFG00020002669.1)". Lineage: Eukaryota; Metazoa; Chordata; Mammalia; Carnivora; Canidae. The record is from RNAcentral.